UUUUUUUUUUUUUUUUUUUAAUUCUUCAGCUAAAACAGUGGAAAAGGUGAUUUAUUAUAUGGUUGUUACACUCGGCCACAAAUAAACACAGAAAUAGUCCAGAAUGUCACAGGUCCAGGGCAGAGGACCAACUUGUACCAGCAUCCCCAGCGUCUGGCAUUCCAUGUUUCUGCUCCUGUGGCCUCCACGGUGCAACAAGCUAGCGGUUUACUUGGACCUCUGCCU
Molecule: long non-coding RNA, 225 nt
Filed under: Homo sapiens (human)
Lineage: Eukaryota; Metazoa; Chordata; Mammalia; Primates; Hominidae
Description: HSALNT0369807
Source: RNAcentral